UUGUCAAGACCCUUCCACUGCAUCUCGAUCCAUAUCACCGGAACACAGGCCACCGGAACACAGGCCACCAGAAUACAGGCCACCGGAACACAGGCCACCAGUCAACGUUCAGUCCUACUGUCUGGAGAAGGGAGAUUUAAGUGAGACAAUUUGCUAGGAUAGCAGAGCGAAUCAUUAUAAGGUAAAGAGUAACAAGAUAGUAUUUGAAGACUCAAACAAGCUUCUGUGUUGACCCUGACAAAAUACAUCUCAGAAGAUUUUACUUCAGUGAUGCCGGACUUUUCUUUAUCACAGCUGAUUCUCCAGCCCUAGCUAACCAGAAUCACAUAUUCUCAAAUAAAAAUAUCACU
Peromyscus maniculatus bairdii (prairie deer mouse) is the source of this 350-nucleotide long non-coding RNA. RefSeq lists it as uncharacterized. NCBI's taxonomy places the organism in Eukaryota, Metazoa, Chordata, Mammalia, Rodentia, Cricetidae. The record is from RefSeq and is a predicted model, not a curated record.